AAGGAUUUAAGUUAAGUAUAAACUUUUAACCUUCAAAGUUGAAAAUAGAAUAUUUCUAAGCCUUA
RNAcentral lists this transfer RNA (65 nucleotides) under Sphenoraia micans. Its description in RNAcentral is "tRNA-Trp". Lineage: Eukaryota; Metazoa; Arthropoda; Insecta; Coleoptera; Chrysomelidae. The record is from RNAcentral.